AUCGCUUCUCGGCCUUUUGGCUAAGAUCAAGUGUAGUAAGAAUCUCUGGGUAUGUGCUGGGGCACAUAGAGCACAGCAAAUGUUUUCCAUUAUAUUAAUAAAAGCUUGGAAGCAAUAUAAAAUUUUCUAAAAGAAAAAUAACUACUUCAUUUUAUUAUAGCUCUACCAGAUACCCUAA
This 178-nucleotide small nuclear RNA is filed under the name Cervus hanglu yarkandensis (Yarkand deer). RNAcentral describes it as "U2 spliceosomal RNA (ENSCHYG00000024507.1)". It matches the Rfam family "U2 spliceosomal RNA". From Rfam's summary of the family: U2 is a small nuclear RNA (snRNA) component of the spliceosome (involved in pre-mRNA splicing). Complementary binding between U2 snRNA (in an area lying towards the 5' end but 3' to hairpin I) and the branchpoint sequence (BPS) of the intron results the bulging out of an unpaired adenosine, on the BPS, which initiates a nucleophilic attack at the intronic 5' splice site, thus starting the first of two transesterification reactions that mediate splicing. Lineage: Eukaryota; Metazoa; Chordata; Mammalia; Artiodactyla; Cervidae. The record is from RNAcentral.